AUGUCGAUCGCGCUGAAGAGCGGGCCCGGGCUGGCCGGCGGCGGCCGGUUCGGCCGCGCCGCGCGCUGCGGCGCCUACGCCUCGCCGCCGGCCUCGGGCGGGCGCGGCGGCUCGUCGGGGGGCCGGGACAGCGACAGCCCGGCGGCGGCGGCGCAGUGGGAGUGGGACGGCGAGGAGGUCGAGGGCGGCGACGGCGAGGUGCAGAGCAACUACAAGGGGCCCUUCGACACCAUGGACGCGCUCAACGAGGCCCUGCCCUUCAGGAAAGGAGUAUCCAAGUUCUACAAUGGCAAGUCCGGAUCUUUUGCGAAGCCCCCAGUUGCUGUGAUCCCAUCUCCCCCACCGGUGAAGGGCCUUCCGAAGCCAGAAACCCCAUCCCCCAGGAAGCGCAAAGGUCUUCUCCCAUUCAGUUUCAAGUGGGGCAAAGCACAGAGCAAAGAGGUGUACCCUGAAGAUGAUGUAGUGGACAGCCCCACGACUUGCAGGAGGAUGACAUUGUCUCCGGCCGCCACAAGCAGCUCAGGGAGCAACAGCGGCAGCGAUGAUGAAGCUCAGAAGCUGCCUUCCCGGCGCUCGCACAGGAAGCCUGGCAACGCCAUGGGCGCCUAUGCUUCCCCACCUGCUCCUCGUCCACCGGAGCUGCUGUUCCCAGCCCACACAAGAUCUCAGUCGAUGCUUGAGCUGCAGGACGUAUCGGAGUCGACCGCCAUGGUCUCCCCCAGGGACAAGCGCCGGAAGAACUAG
This 744-nucleotide ribosomal RNA is filed under the name Triticum aestivum (bread wheat). Its description in RNAcentral is "partial small subunit ribosomal RNA". Lineage: Eukaryota; Viridiplantae; Streptophyta; Magnoliopsida; Poales; Poaceae. The record is from RNAcentral.